This is a small nuclear RNA of Cucurbita moschata (crookneck pumpkin), 106 nucleotides long. The record is from RefSeq and is a predicted model, not a curated record. NCBI's taxonomy places the organism in Eukaryota, Viridiplantae, Streptophyta, Magnoliopsida, Cucurbitales, Cucurbitaceae.
AUCGAAUAGAGGUCAAAACAUGUAAAAAUUGGAAUGAUACAGAGGUGAUUAGCAUGGCCGCUAUAGAAGGAUGAGACACACCAAUUGAAAAAUGGUCCAAACUUUU